CUUACACAUUUUCAGAGCUUGGAGUUGAGGCCACCAACUAGGCUCACAAAUGUAGGUACAGUGCUACAUGAAGAGUCAAUUUUUGCUGAUUAAGGGACCCAAUGGAUGAAGUUUGAUAGUAAUCCUUGCUACACAU
Ictidomys tridecemlineatus (thirteen-lined ground squirrel) is the source of this 136-nucleotide small nucleolar RNA. The record is from Ensembl. NCBI's taxonomy places the organism in Eukaryota, Metazoa, Chordata, Mammalia, Rodentia, Sciuridae.